This 924-nucleotide long non-coding RNA is filed under the name Mus spicilegus (steppe mouse). RNAcentral describes it as "lncRNA (ENSMSIG00000019737.1)". Lineage: Eukaryota; Metazoa; Chordata; Mammalia; Rodentia; Muridae. The record is from RNAcentral.
ACGUUAAAACUUUAGAAUCAGGUGGGAGGUGGUGGUAGUCACAGAACAAAUGGUCAAAACAAAGAUCUUACAAGGUUAGAAGCAUAGGACUUUAUGUUAGGCCAUAUUCACCCCAAUCCUGGGCAUGUGUAGUUUGCUAUUUGGUUUUCCUGGCAAGCCUGAGAAGGUGGUGGUUAUACAUAUACAGUUCCGAGUCUCCAGGUCACACCUAUACCUCUAAGAGGAGCUGUUUAUUUCCCCAUCCCAGUGAACUGGUAACUCAAGUUGGAAACUGUGUCUCAUUCACAAUUACAGAUGACUUAAUAAUAACAACACGUAAAUCCCUAGAAAUAAGACUUCGAAGGAGGAUCAUCACUAUUAUUUACUCUACGCCUGCCCAAGACCUCCCUCAGUUCCUUGUCUGCAGGCCUAAACAUCUGAGCAGAGAAAAUAAAAGCAAAGAGUUCCCUAAAAUGCCACCAUACAGAAGGUUCAGAGAGGCCCCUGCAAUCAAGCACAUCCCUGGCACCUCUUCAGUGGAAGCUCCUCUGACACCCAUCAAGUUGGUCGUCAUUAAUGCCUUAUUCCCAUCUUCAUUGGCUCCCUGGCUGCACCCUUUGGCUUUAAACUCUCCUAAAGAUGGCUGUCCUGUUAUGAAGGCUGCUUGCUAACUGUUUAAAGUCUGCUCGGAUCUUCUAUUAUGGGCAUUCUGUCUUGUCAGCUCAUCUGACGUCAACCAGCAUGAACCACGUUAAUAGCUUGCAUUGCCUCUUGAUCACAUAAGCCCCUCGAACUUUUAUCUGUAUAUUGUCCUAGAGAACAUGAGGCACGGAUCCUCUCUUUUCUUUAUCUCCGUGCACAGUUUCCUGAUAGAGAGAAGCAGAGAGCUCAGUGGGUACAGCUCUGGGGAUGUAGCUGAAUUGUUGAUUUGGAUGAAACUUGAAC